UACGGGGGGGGCAAGCGUUGUUCGGAAUUACUGGGCGUAAAGGGUUUGUAGGUGGCUGAUUAAGUCAGACGUGAAAUCCCUCAGCUUAACUGGGGAACUGCGUCUGAUACUGGUUAGCUUGAGUGCAGGAGAGGAACGCGGAAUUCCAGGUGUAGCGGUGAAAUGCGUAGAUAUGUGGAGGAAUACCGAUGGCGAAGGCAGCCCCCUGGGCUAAGAUUGACGCUCAUGCACGAAAGCGUGGGGAGCAAACAGG
This 253-nucleotide ribosomal RNA is filed under the name uncultured bacterium. RNAcentral describes it as "partial 16S ribosomal RNA". It matches the Rfam family "Bacterial small subunit ribosomal RNA", at positions 524 to 776 of the family's 1533-position model. The record is from RNAcentral.